AGAAGAAAAACAAAAU
RNAcentral lists this small RNA (16 nucleotides) under Arabidopsis thaliana (thale cress). RNAcentral describes it as "ATSL231480". The record is from RNAcentral. Lineage: Eukaryota; Viridiplantae; Streptophyta; Magnoliopsida; Brassicales; Brassicaceae.